RNAcentral lists this long non-coding RNA (286 nucleotides) under Homo sapiens (human). RNAcentral's name for it is "HSALNT0340710". Lineage: Eukaryota; Metazoa; Chordata; Mammalia; Primates; Hominidae. The record is from RNAcentral.
CUGGCCUGCCGCCUCAACGACCAGCCUGAGAGCCAUGGCCAGUCCCACAAGUCCAAGUCCAUGGAUAGAGCCGUGAUGGAAACAAAGGAACACAUAGUGCAAAGAUGAAAAGAGAUUUUUAAAAAGAGAACAAAAGGGAGAACAAAGCAAAGUAAGCAGAAGAGACCCCAUCGCAGUGAAGCAGCUGCCCCUUGCAACGCGUGUCCCACUCACACUGGAGUCGCUUGCCUGGAUUCUGAGCAGCUCUCUGGCUAUCAGCACUGUUUAAAAUAUGACAACAUCUGAC